Molecule: small nucleolar RNA, 172 nt
Filed under: Rattus norvegicus (Norway rat)
Lineage: Eukaryota; Metazoa; Chordata; Mammalia; Rodentia; Muridae
Source: RNAcentral
GGUGGCCCUUAUCGAACCUUAUCGAAGCUGCAGCGUCUUCUACAUAGCUGCUGUGGUAAAAAAAAAAAAAAAAAAAAAAAAAAAAAAAAAAAAAAACAAAACCAGAGAAACAAUUUUCCUUGAUGGUUGCAGCUCUGUUUCCUGUAACUGAUCAUUUUGGGAAAAGACAGCU